CCUACGGGAGGCAGCAGUGAGGAAUAUUGGUCAAUGUGAGAGAUCCUGAACCAGCCAAGCCGCGUGAGGGAAGACGGCCCUAUGGGUUGUAAACCUCUUUUGUCGGAGAACAAAACCCGGUACGUGUCCCGGACUGCGUGUAUCCGCAGAAAAAGCAUCGGCCAACUCCGUGCCAGCAGCCGGGGUAAUACGGAGGAUGCGAGCGUUAUCCGGAUUUAUUGGGUGUAAAGUGUUCGUAGGGGGAGCGUUCAGUCAGUGGUCAAAUUGAGGGGCUAAACCCCUUCCCGCCAUUGAAACUGGCGAUCUGGAGUGGAAGAGAAGUAUGGGGAAUGCGUGGUGUAGCGGUGAAAUGCAGAGAUAUCACGCAGAACCCCGAUUGCGAAGGCAGCAUGCCGGCUUCCGACUGACGCUGAAGCACGAAAGCGUGGGGAUCGAACAGGAUUAGAUACCCGAGUAGUC
This 459-nucleotide ribosomal RNA is filed under the name uncultured bacterium. RNAcentral describes it as "partial 16S ribosomal RNA". It matches the Rfam family "Bacterial small subunit ribosomal RNA", at positions 338 to 795 of the family's 1533-position model. The record is from RNAcentral.